Molecule: ribosomal RNA, 498 nt
Filed under: uncultured bacterium
Lineage: Bacteria
Description: partial 16S ribosomal RNA
Rfam family: Bacterial small subunit ribosomal RNA
Source: RNAcentral
AUUGAACGCUGGCGGCAUGCCUUACACAUGCAAGUCGAACGGUAACGCGGGGCAACCUGGCGACGAGUGGCGAACGGGUGAGUAAUGCAUCGGAACGUGCCCAGUAGUGGGGGAUAGCCCGGCGAAAGCCGGAUUAAUACCGCAUACGACCUACGGGUGAAAGGGGGGGAUCGCAAGACCUCUCGCUAUUGGAGCGGCCGAUGUCAGAUUAGGUAGUUGGUGGGGUAAAGGCCCACCAAGCCUUCGAUUUGUAGCUGGUCUGAGAGGACGACCAGCCACACUGGGACUGAGACACGGCCCAGACUCCUACGGGAGGCAGCAGUGGGGAAUUUUGGACAAUGGGCGCAAGCCUGAUCCAGCCAUGCCGCGUGCGGGAAGAAGGCCUUCGGGUUGUAAACCGCUUUUGUCAGGGAAGAAACGCUCUGGGCUAAUACCUCGGGGUAAUGACGGUACCUGAAGAAUAAGCACCGGCUAACUACGUGCCAGCCGCCGCCGUAA